RNAcentral lists this ribosomal RNA (493 nucleotides) under uncultured bacterium. Its description in RNAcentral is "partial 16S ribosomal RNA". It matches the Rfam family "Bacterial small subunit ribosomal RNA", at positions 30 to 523 of the family's 1533-position model. The record is from RNAcentral.
AUUGAACGCUGGCGGCAUGCCUUACACAUGCAAGUCGAACGGUAACAGGUUAAGCUGACGAGUGGCGAACGGGUGAGUAAUAUAUCGGAACGUGCCCAGUCGUGGGGGAUAACGUAGCGAAAGCUACGCUAAUACCGCAUACGAUCUACGGAUGAAAGCGGGGGAUCGCAAGACCUCGCGCGAUUGGAGCGGCCGAUAUCAGAUUAGGUUGUUGGUGAGGUAAAGGCUCACCAAGCCUGCGAUCUGUAGCUGGUCUGAGAGGACGACCAGCCACACUGGAACUGAGACACGGUCCAGACUCCUACGGGAGGCAGCAGUGGGGAAUUUUGGACAAUGGACGCAAGUCUGAUCCAGCAAUGCCGCGUGCAGGACGAAGGCCUUCGGGUUGUAAACUGCUUUUGUACGGAACGAAACGGUGAGCUCUAAUACGGUUUGCUAAUGACGGUACCGUAAGAAUAAGCACCGGCUAACUACGUGCCAGCCGCCGCAGUAA